UCUAUAUCUAAAUGUUAAAUCUAUAUCUAAAUGUUAAAUGUUAUAUCUAAAUGUUUCGAAAAUAUGCAAAUUGAACACGCCCCCUAUCGGGUUCACGCCCACACCACCGACCUUGGAUCAGCCAUGAGGUCCAUCUGUGGAGGACACUGGAAACAUGCCGCACAGACGGCUGACAAGGCAACUUCCUAUAACUAUAUAACUUUCUCCCUUUAACGGCAAAGUUUCUUGUUUUAAUGAGAGACUUAUCUUGCUUAAACGACAUCAUUUUCGUCUCAUAACAACGCAACAUAACCCGGCAUCAGCUCGCGGGAUAUUUGAGUGUCAUGGAGAAGAGGAGAGACGGAGGGGCGCCUUUUAUUACUUUUUAAGAAGUCGUCAUUUGUCGGAGGAAUGUAUUUCUGCACUGAGGAGUGACAAGACUGACAUAUCAGCUAUAGCAAGCAUGGAUGAGAGCUUGGCCAUCUAUAUUCCCACCUAUGCUGACAGAAUUGCCACCCAGAGAUUUUGCUUCGAGUUCCAAGGAAAAGGUGAAAGAGAUGUCCUUCAACAGACGUGGCUUGAAAAACUCUUUACAUGCAAAUCUUCAUGGAAAAAGUCCAAUUUGAUCUAAAAUGUUUUUGGUUUCAGGUAAUAUCACUAUGUAAUAUAUUUAAAAAGAAAGCUUACCAUUUGACUCAAAAUGUGUUUUCAAGAACAUAUGGAAGUGAGCCACAAUAGAGUCAGUUAGCUUUUGUUUUUGUUGACAAAGAUAUAGAGCAAAAAUACUGAUUAAAAAGAUUACUCCAACAACAUUGUGAAAUACAAUUUUUUGAAGUGAAAUUAUUGCUGUUGCUAUUAAGCUUUUUUAAGGUAAAAAAUUUUAAAGCAUGUGUUUAAACUGUACUUACUUUUCUUUCCAUAGGGCAUUAUUUUUCUUUUAUAUUCUUUAAAGUUGAUUGUAAAAUAGAUAAAUGCUUUGAGCGCAAUAGUGCCCAGAUUUCUAACAACGACUUUUGUCAUAUGUAAAAGGAUUUUCUCAUGUUCAAUUUUGAGAUCCAUGUAUUCAUCUUUUUAAUACUCAUAGAUCAUGUUCUAGUUUGGUCAUCUUCUGGAGUUAGAGAAAUUCCUUUCAAAAGGAUCUUUCAGAGCACUUGUUAAAGGUACUUUUAAUGAAUGUUCUUCUGUGAGUUGAUGUAACAUUGCAAUAUAAUGUUAUGUUUCUAAGGAAAGAACAAGUUGGUUUGAUCACAAACCAUUGCACUUUAUUUUGUAAUGGGUUUUUACCAAAGAUUCAUUAAAAUUUUUCAUGUUACACAUAA
Long non-coding RNA from Fundulus heteroclitus (mummichog), 1298 nucleotides. RefSeq lists it as uncharacterized. Lineage: Eukaryota; Metazoa; Chordata; Actinopteri; Cyprinodontiformes; Fundulidae. The record is from RefSeq and is a predicted model, not a curated record. The transcript is spliced from 2 exons.